CCUACGGGGAGCAGCAGUAGGGAAUAUUGCUCAAUGGGGGAAACCCUGAAGCAGCAACGCCGCGUGGAGGAUGAAGGUUUUCGGAUUGUAAACUCCUUUUGUUAGAGAAGAUAAUGACGGUAUCUAACGAAUAAGCACCGGCUAACUCCGUGCCAGCAGCCUCGGUAAUACGGAGGGUGCAAGCGUUACUCGGAAGCACUGGGCGUAAAGAGCGCGUAGGCGGGAUAGCAAGUCAGAGGUGAAAUCCUAGGGCUUAACCAUAGAACUGCAUUUGAAACUGUUAUUCUAGAGUAUGGGAGAGGUAGGUGGAAGUCUUGGUGUAGGGGUAAAAUCCGUAGAGAUCAAGAGGAAUACUCAUUGCGAAGGCGACCUGCUAGAACAUAACUGACGCUGAUGCGCGAAAGCGUGGGGAGCAAACAGGAUUAGAUACCCUUGUAGUC
RNAcentral lists this ribosomal RNA (440 nucleotides) under uncultured bacterium. Its description in RNAcentral is "partial 16S ribosomal RNA". It matches the Rfam family "Bacterial small subunit ribosomal RNA", at positions 338 to 795 of the family's 1533-position model. The record is from RNAcentral.